RNAcentral lists this ribosomal RNA (253 nucleotides) under uncultured bacterium. Its description in RNAcentral is "partial 16S ribosomal RNA". It matches the Rfam family "Bacterial small subunit ribosomal RNA", at positions 524 to 776 of the family's 1533-position model. The record is from RNAcentral.
UACAGGGGGGGCGGGCGUUACUGGGAAUUACUGGGCGUAAAGCGCACGUAGGGGGCGACGUAAGUCGGGUGUGAAAACCCCGGGCUCAACCUGGGAAUUGCAUUCGAAACUGCAUUGCUGGAGUACGGAAGAGGAGGGCGGAAUUCCCGGUGUAGCGGUGAAAUGCGUAGAUAUCGGGAGGAACAUCAGUGGCGAAGGCGGCCCUCUGGUCCAGUACUGACACUCAAGCGCGAAAGCGUGGGGAGCAAACAGG